This 464-nucleotide ribosomal RNA is filed under the name uncultured bacterium. RNAcentral's name for it is "partial 16S ribosomal RNA". It matches the Rfam family "Bacterial small subunit ribosomal RNA", at positions 28 to 507 of the family's 1533-position model. The record is from RNAcentral.
GACGAACGCUGGCGGCGUGCUUAACACAUGCAAGUCGAACGGAAAGGCCCAGCUUGCUGGGUGCUCGAGUGGCGAACGGGUGAGUAACACGUGGGUGAUCUGCCCCUAACUUCGGGAUAAGCCUGGGAAACUGGGUCUAAUACCGGAUAGGACAAUCGUUUAGUGUCGGUUGUGGAAAGUUUUUUCGGUUAGGGAUGAGCCCGCGGCCCAUCAGCUUGUUGGUGGGGUAAUGGCCUACCAAGGCGUCGACGGGUAGCCGGCCUGAGAGGGUGGACGGCCACAUUGGGACUGAGAUACGGCCCAGACUCCUACGGGAGGCAGCAGUGGGGAAUAUUGCACAAUGGGCGCAAGCCUGAUGCAGCGACGCCGCGUGGGGGAUGACGGCCUUCGGGUUGUAAACCUCUUUCGACAGGGACGAAGCUUUGGUGACGGUACCUGUAUAAGAAGCACCGGCUAACUACGUG